Molecule: non-coding RNA, 113 nt
Organism: Acanthosepion pharaonis
Lineage: Eukaryota; Metazoa; Mollusca; Cephalopoda; Sepiida; Sepiidae
Source: the annotation of a GenBank genome assembly
UGCAGCUACAUCACGUUGAAUCACCAGUUCCUGUAUGAUCAUUGAAAUUAAGCAACAUUGAGCCUGGCCAGUACUUAGAUGAGUGAUCAUUUGGGAAUACCAGGUGCUGUAAG